GAAAAACAGAACAAUGUAAAAUUUUUUCAAAAUCUCAACCUUAAACCUUAUCACGCUGGUUCAACGGAUUCAUUUAUCUCAGUAUCUUUGUACAUCCUCAAAAAACGAAAAAUUUCACGGAAUUAAACCCGUAAUCCAUAUUUAGAACAUGACGCAGUUCGGCUAAUUUAAUUAAACGUCGGCCACAAUUUACAAAACGUUACAGUUUCAGUUUCCUGGCCUUUCGUUUUGGUGGCCCUUUCCCAUGAUCUCUUCAGCUGGAGCCUUCUACCGGCAACGAACAUUCAAUAAAACACAGAUUUUAAUAGGCUGAAACAAUUAACUCGGAUGAGUAUGCUCUAGGAAAGUGGACAAAGAUCUUUACGAUCUUACGAUCUCCUAGGAAACAUCUGCAUUUGUCAAGCGACUCUAUUACUGCUUGAAUCCUGGGCAUUAAGCGACAGACGCGUUUACAUUUAAUUAGCGACAGAUGGAAGAAUUUUAUCUUCUGUGUAUUCUACUCGCAAAAGAAAGUGUUUUGUUGCGGGAUAGGCCAGUUACCUGGUGAUUAUUCCACACUUUAAAACCUAAUAACCUAUUGAGGUCCUUUAACCUGGACCGUUAAAAUUUUCGUUCAAAAGGUAAAAUUUUAUGGUUUCAUAUAAUGUACGUAUUGAAAGCAUUGUAUUGUGCAGCUCGUAUUGUAUGCUGGUACAAGCAAUAAAUUGAUAAAGACGUUUUAAAGUUUUGUUUAUUAACAAAUUUACGGCUGUACCGAUACUUUCUCCAUGUAUUCAUUCUCUUUCAUUUUUACAGGUACAAGGGAUAUGCAUUUGAAUAUAUUGUGGUAUUUAAAUCUUUUCAUAGAAUUUAUGUGAGAAUUUUAGAAGAGGUUAAGAAAAUUUUGAAUUUGAGAUUUUCCAUUGACUUGUGAAAGUUCUUUCGGGAUUAAGCGACUAAUUGUACUGUUGUACAAAUGAUUAACAAUGGCACGGCAUUUAAAUAUUUACAAAAAAAAGAAAUUAAAAACAUAACAGGAAUUUAUUGUUGCAUAACAAUAAAAGUUGUUCUCAAUUGUUAUGGCUAACUUUUACAAAUUACAACAUAAACCUUUAUCUUAUCUUUUUUAUAAUUUAAUUUCCAGAUCGUCGAAUUCGAUAUACUUUUCUACAUCGUUGCAUUACUCUACUCUUCCACUCGGCUGAGAGCGCAUUUUUCACGGAAUCGAAUCGACAAAGGAAUAUCGAUUAAUCGGCAAAAUCGCGAUUGAUAUUGCGAUAACGAUAUUGGAAUCGAAGGAAAAAGAAAUAUUGAAUCCCUUGUCACGUAUUUGGGACAUCGAUAGAUGAUAAUGGCGACACGUUGAUCGAACAAUGGCUGGGGACGAAAAUAAAUCAAUUCACGAUGCGAAGAAGUGAAAGAACGCAUGCGGCGGAAAUAAUUUAUUAAUUAUUCCGCGUAAAUCGCGGCGAAAAAAGGGCAUAAACACUGGGUGUCCUUUCACUCCAGAAACACCUUGACAUUUUGUGGCAUGGGACGGGAUGAUUUCUCGCGUCGGAAGACGAUGGAAAGUCGUCAACUUGCUUCUCGAACAACACGUCCCGGAAUUCUACCUCAAUGUAAAUUGCAUGUCUAAUUAGCGUCUAUCAUUCCCCCGAUUCAUUCCUUAAUUUGUUGCCUAAGUAUAUAGUGGUGUACACGUAGAAUAUCUACUUAGAUUUGUUCAAUUUUCUGCAUCCUCAUCAUCAUCAUCAUCAUCAUCAUCAUCAUAUAUAUAUAUAUUGUAUAUGGAAGAACACGCGCGUUACAUUAAUCGCCAUUUUUCCAUCGUACCUGACAAUCGUCGUAUCAUUUUUCCAAGCAUUCAAUUAGGAAAUAAUGAUUGAUCGACACGCACUACACGAACGGAAUAAAAUUCCACUCGUAAUGUUUACAGUUUGAUUUAGUUUUUAUUAGAACAUUAAGUAAGUGUCGGUGUAUAUUUGUUCGUAUAGAUGAAGCUAUAUCCGCAUUGCUAAACAUUAUUAUUAUUAUUAUUAUUUUGCUACAAAGUGUUAUUCAUCCUGCAAAAAAAUCUCGAUAUUAAUAAUGCUCGUAUCGGAAUUCGUCGAAAAAAUUAAAAAAAAAAAAAAAAAGGAAUUUUCGUUUUUAUACCUUGAAAAUGUAGGAUUAUAUUCAAGAAACUUAGGUUUCUUGGUUGAGAUGUUAUCCAACAGAAUGCUGACAGAAAUUUAUUAGCUAUUAACGAAAUAUUACGACGAAAAAGAACGAGACUGGCUCUAUAAUAAUUUUAUAAAGCGAUUAAAAUGUAUAUUAAUGGCUAGAUCAUUAUCAGACAAUUAGUCCUUGUUGGUGGACGAUCGUUCGGCUGAUUGGUUUGUCAAUAAAUAAAUUAUAUUUCUUCUUA
This 2386-nucleotide long non-coding RNA is filed under the name Apis mellifera (honey bee). RNAcentral describes it as "uncharacterized LOC102656614". The record is from RNAcentral. Lineage: Eukaryota; Metazoa; Arthropoda; Insecta; Hymenoptera; Apidae.